UUUCUUGACUCUUAAAAGGUCUUGGAAUAAGGGGUGGGUAAGGACGGUGCCAGCCGCCGCGGUAAUACCGGCGCCUCAAGUGGUAGUCGAUUUUAUUGGGCCUAAAACGUCCGUAGCCGGUUUGAUACAUUCGUGGGUAAAUCAACCAGCUCAACUGGUUGAAUUCUGCGAGGACGGCCAGACUUGGGACCGGGAGAGGUGUGGGGUACGCUCAGGGUAGGGGUAAAAUCCUGUCAUCCUGAGCGGACCACCUGUUGCGAAGGCGCCACACUAGAACGGAUCCGACGGUCAGGGACGAAGCCUAGGGGCACGAACCGGAUUAGAUACCCGGGUAGUCCUAGGUGUAAACGCUGUGGACUUGGUGUUGGGGACUCUCCGAGAUCCCUCAGUGCCGAAGCGAAGGUGAUAAGUCCACUGCCUGGGGAGUAC
Molecule: ribosomal RNA, 429 nt
Filed under: uncultured archaeon
Lineage: Archaea
Description: bacterial SSU rRNA
Rfam family: Archaeal small subunit ribosomal RNA
Source: RNAcentral